This 1088-nucleotide ribosomal RNA is filed under the name Bacillus subtilis. RNAcentral's name for it is "bacterial SSU rRNA". It matches the Rfam family "Bacterial small subunit ribosomal RNA", at positions 50 to 1118 of the family's 1533-position model. Lineage: Bacteria; Bacillati; Bacillota; Bacilli; Caryophanales; Bacillaceae. The record is from RNAcentral.
UAUACAUGCAGUCGAGCGGACAGAUGGGAGCUUGCUCCCUGAUGUUAGCGGCGGACGGGUGAGUAACACGUGGGUAACCUGCCUGUAAGACUGGGAUAACUCCGGGAAACCGGGGCUAAUACCGGAUGGUUGUUUGAACCGCAUGGUUCAAACAUAAAAGGUGGCUUCGGCUACCACUUACAGAUGGACCCGCGGCGCAUUAGCUAGUUGGUGAGGUAACGGCUCACCAAGGCAACGAUGCGUAGCCGACCUGAGAGGGUGAUCGGCCACACUGGGACUGAGACACGGCCCAGACUCCUACGGGAGGCAGCAGUAGGGAAUCUUCCGCAAUGGACGAAAGUCUGACGGAGCAACGCCGCGUGAGUGAUGAAGGUUUUCGGAUCGUAAAGCUCUGUUGUUAGGGAAGAACAAGUACCGUUCGAAUAGGGCGGUACCUUGACGGUACCUAACCAGAAAGCCACGGCUAACUACGUGCCAGCAGCCGCGGUAAUACGUAGGUGGCAAGCGUUGUCCGGAAUUAUUGGGCGUAAAGGGCUCGCAGGCGGUUUCUUAAGUCUGAUGUGAAAGCCCCCGGCUCAACCGGGGAGGGUCAUUGGAAACUGGGGAACUUGAGUGCAGAAGAGGAGAGUGGAAUUCCACGUGUAGCGGUGAAAUGCGUAGAGAUGUGGAGGAACACCAGUGGCGAAGGCGACUCUCUGGUCUGUAACUGACGCUGAGGAGCGAAAGCGUGGAGAGCGAACAGGAUUAGAUACGCUGGUAGUCCACGCCGUAAACGAUGAGUGCUAAGUGUUAAGGCGGUUUCCGCCCCUUAGUGCUGCAGCUAACGCAUUAAGCACUCCGCCUGCGGAGUACGGUCGCAAGACUGAAAACUCAAAGGAAUUGACGGGGGCCCGCACAAUCGGUGCAGCAAGUGGUUUAAUUCGAAGCAACGCGAAGAACCUUACCAGGUCUUGACAUCCUCUGACAAUCCUAUAAAUAGGACGUCCCCUUCGGGGGCAGACUAAUAGUGGGUGCAUGGUUGUUUUCCGCUCGAGACGGGAGAUGUUGGGUAAAAUCCCGUCACCAACGCAACCCUUGAUCUUAGUUGU